Molecule: ribosomal RNA, 232 nt
Filed under: uncultured bacterium
Lineage: Bacteria
Description: partial 16S ribosomal RNA
Rfam family: Bacterial small subunit ribosomal RNA
Source: RNAcentral
CGGACGGGUGAGUAAUGUCUGGGAAACUGCCUGAUGGAGGGGGAUAACUACUGGAAACGGUAGCUAAUACCGCAUAACGUCGCAAGACCAAAGAGGGGGACCUUCGGGCCUCUUGCCAUCGGAUGUGCCCAGAUGGGAUUAGCUAGUAGGUGGGGCAACGGCUCACCUAGGCGACGAUCCCUAGCUGGUCUGAGAGGAUGACCAGCCACACUGGAACUGAGACACGGUCCAG